GUGGGGAAUCUUGCGCAAUGGGCGAAAGCCUGACGCAGCAACGCCGCGUGAGGGACGAAGGCUUUCUGAGUUGUAAACCUCUUUCGACAGGAACGAUUGUGACGGUACCUGUAGAAGAAGCACCGGCCAACUAUGU
This 136-nucleotide ribosomal RNA is filed under the name uncultured bacterium. RNAcentral describes it as "partial 16S ribosomal RNA". It matches the Rfam family "Bacterial small subunit ribosomal RNA", at positions 354 to 506 of the family's 1533-position model. The record is from RNAcentral.